GUAAUUUUGCGCUCUGCAAUGAGAUGGGAUCCGAAGCCCCCCGAGGGAUAAUACUGGCUCUCCCAUCCAAUGGCGAUCCAGGUGGGAGGUGAGUAUCCCAGGAAACUGGGUGCCUGGAUGUAGGGGGAAGGGGGGCAACCCGACGCUAAACAAAACGGU
This 159-nucleotide ribozyme is filed under the name Anopheles gambiae (African malaria mosquito). Its description in RNAcentral is "drz-agam-2-2 ribozyme". It matches the Rfam family "drz-agam-2-2 ribozyme". The record is from Rfam by way of RNAcentral. Lineage: Eukaryota; Metazoa; Arthropoda; Insecta; Diptera; Culicidae.